RNAcentral lists this long non-coding RNA (599 nucleotides) under Gallus gallus (chicken). Lineage: Eukaryota; Metazoa; Chordata; Aves; Galliformes; Phasianidae. The record is from RNAcentral.
GUUUGACAAAGGUCUCUCAUGACCUUAGAUUCCUCCUUGAAAUUUGAUGUUACUUCCUGUUUCUCUUCAUCACCUGAGCUUUCCGACUCCUCUGUGGAGGAAUCCUUCUGCUGUGUAGUGCAAUCAGGCUCAGAUUCUUCUGAAUCAGAAAUAUCAGAGUACACUGAGGAUCCUUUCCUGAGUUCUGAUUUCACACUUUCAAAGAACAUGUUCAGUGGUUUUUGGGCAUCUGCAUUCCCUUCUCCUUCAAAUCCUGAGGUCUGAUCUUCUCUCUUAACAGUCACCUUUUUCGACCUUGUUCUGUCAUCUUCAUCUUCACUAUCUGCUGUGUAAAGACUUCGAUCUGUAAAUGGACGUCUUUCAUCUCUAAUGAUUCUUCCAUUUGACAGCACAAGGCGAAGAUCAUUGUCCUUUGUUCGCCAGUCAGGUACUGUAGAAGACGGUUGAAAGGGCUUGUUAAAUCUCCCAUUCAGUUUCGAGUUUGCUAUGUCCUCCUCCCACGGUGACAUCUCCAGCCUUUUCAGUACCUCUCUUGUGUGGAGUUCUAAGAUAUCUAGAUUAGAAGGAGUUUUGGUAGCAUGGUCUCGCAGUUUCCUCAC